ACGGAAGGCAGCAGUGGGGAAUAUUGCACAAUGGGGGAAACCCUGAUGCAGCGACGCCGCGUGAGUGAAGAAGUUAUUCGUAAUGUAAAGCUCUAUCAGCAGGGAAGAAAAUGACGGUACCUGACUAAGAAGCCCCGGCUAACUACGUGCCAGCAGCCGCGGUAAUACGUAGGGGGCAAGCGUUAUCCGGAUUUACUGGGUGUAAAGGGAGCGUAGACGGUCUAGCAAGUCUGAUGUGAAAGGCAGGGGCUCAACUCCUGGACUGCAUUGGAAACUGUUAGUCUUGAGUGUCGGAGAGGUAAGCGGAAUUCCUAGUGUAGCGGUGAAAUGCGUAGAUAUUAGGAGGAACACCAGUGGCGGAGGCGGCUUACUGGACGAUAACUGACGUUGAGGCUCGAAAGCGUGGGGAGCAAACAGGAUUAGAUACCCUGGUA
RNAcentral lists this ribosomal RNA (434 nucleotides) under uncultured Blautia sp. RNAcentral describes it as "partial 16S ribosomal RNA". It matches the Rfam family "Bacterial small subunit ribosomal RNA", at positions 341 to 792 of the family's 1533-position model. Lineage: Bacteria; Bacillati; Bacillota; Clostridia; Lachnospirales; Lachnospiraceae. The record is from RNAcentral.